Molecule: ribosomal RNA, 305 nt
Filed under: uncultured bacterium
Lineage: Bacteria
Description: bacterial SSU rRNA
Rfam family: Bacterial small subunit ribosomal RNA
Source: RNAcentral
CCUACGGGGGGCAGCAGUGGGGAAUAUUGCACAAUGGGGGAAACCCUGAUGCAGCGACGCCGCGUGAGUGAAGAAGCGUUUCGGCGCGUAAAGCUCUGUCAGCGGGGAAGAAACACGGUUCGCGAGAGCCGCGGACGGUACCCGACCAAGAAGCCCCGGCUAACUACGUGCCAGCAGCCGCGGUAAUACGUAGGGGGCAAGCGUUAUCCGGAUUUACUGGGUGUAAAGGGAGCGUAGACGGAAUUGCAAGUCUGAUGUGAAAAUCCGGGGCCCAACCCCGGAACUGCAUUGGAAACUGUAUUUCU